Molecule: ribosomal RNA, 217 nt
Filed under: uncultured bacterium
Lineage: Bacteria
Description: partial 16S ribosomal RNA
Rfam family: Bacterial small subunit ribosomal RNA
Source: RNAcentral
UACGUAGGGUGCGAGCGUUGUCCGGAAUUAUUGGGCGUAAAGAGCUCGUAGGCGGUCUGUCGCGUCUGCUGUGAAAUCCCGAGGCUCAACCUCGGGCUUGCAGUGGGUACGGGCAGGCUAGAGUGCGGUAGGGGAGAAUGGAACUCCUGGUGUAGCGGUGGAAUGCGCAGAUAUCAGGAAGAACACCGAUGGCGAAGGCAGUUCUCUGGGCCGAUAA